UGGGGAAUAUUGCACAAUGGGCGAAAGCCUGAUGCAGCAACGCCGCGUGAGUGAUGAAGGCCUUCGGGUUGUAAAGCUCUGUCUUCUGGGACGAUAAUGACGGUACCAGAGGAGGAAGCCACGGCUAACUACGUGCCAGCAGCCGCGGUAAUACGUAGGUGGCAAGCGUUGUCCGGAUUUACUGGGCGUAAAGGAUGCGUAGGCGGAUACUUAAGUCAGAUGUGAAAAUCCCGGGCUUAACUUGGGAACUGCAUUUGAAACUGGGUGUCUAGGGUGCGGGAGAGGAAAGUGGAAUUCCUAGUGUAGCGGUGAAAUGCGUAGAGAUUAGGAAGAACACCAGUGGCGAAGGCGACUUUCUGGACCGUAACUGACGCUGAGGCAUGAAAGCGUGGGGAGCAAACA
This 402-nucleotide ribosomal RNA is filed under the name uncultured bacterium. Its description in RNAcentral is "bacterial SSU rRNA". It matches the Rfam family "Bacterial small subunit ribosomal RNA", at positions 355 to 774 of the family's 1533-position model. The record is from RNAcentral.